Molecule: non-coding RNA, 1040 nt
Organism: Poecilia reticulata (guppy)
Lineage: Eukaryota; Metazoa; Chordata; Actinopteri; Cyprinodontiformes; Poeciliidae
Source: RefSeq, a predicted model, not a curated record
ACAUGAAGCUGGACCAGCAAAUGGCUCUGCUGAAGGUUCUGCUGCUGCUGCUGCUGCUGGGGCUUUGUUUUGCAGUGAGCUCAGUGUCUCUGCAGAAGAGAGUCAUUGGAGGUGAGAACUGUAAAGACGAUGAGCGUCAGUAUCAUGUGAAAAUCCGUGCUUAUUUUCAAAUAUACAGUGAGAUUUGUGGAGGAUCUCUGAUCAGUGAUCAGUGGGUUCUGACUGCCGCUCACUGCUGGGUGUCAGACCUAGGAUGUUCUUGCUAAUACACAAGAUCUUCAGUGUGCAGACAUUAAGAUUGAUAAAUAUGAAAAGUUGGAAAAGAUACUGGCAAGAGACAAGGACUUUCAGUACAGUUACCAGAAGUGGUACAGUGUGAGAAGCUCCAAGAAGGACGUAGCUUACGGUGACUCUGGUGGAGGAUUUGUGUUCAAGAACAGGCUGUAUGGUGUUUUAGUCUUCCUAGGUGAUCCAACAUAUGCGUUCAGUGCACCAAAUGGCUUCUUGGAUGUCUGUGGCUACAAGAAGUGGAUACAUGACACAAUUAAUCCACUAAAAAUAAGCUCAGUGUGAACUGUGACUAAAUGUUCCCAGGAUCAUAAAAUUACAAAGUUCAAGUUAAUCUUUAAAUUUCAGUUUUCAGUUGAUUCAUUUUCUGAUUUACAGCUGAAUUAUUGCAGCAUUAAAGUUAUUGUGUACAAGUUGAUCUGUGAUAUCUUAUUUCUCAAUAAGUGAAGCUGCUGUUUGUAAUAAUCAGUAACAAUGUCCACUGUCACAUGACUAGACAAUAAUUGGCUGUUAUCUGAUCAGAUUGUGUCUCUUGUGCUUAUGUCUUAUUUGUGAAGAAAAUAGAUUUUAAAAUACUGAACACAUUUUGAACUUUAAAGGCAGUUAAACUCUCCAUUAAAGGGACCAAAACUAAAAAAAACCUGUGGGCUUCCAUCAAGCGUUUUAGAAAACAAUGUUGUCAUUUUUACACCAUCUGUUAUUAGAUGUAUUCUGGUGAAUUCUGACGGUUUUGAAUAAAAUAUUCCAAAUAA